CCUCUUUUCAUCCCAGUCGUCUCCUCCUUCCUCUCUUCUCCAGCGUCCGAUCCCCUUUUCACCUCUCUCCAGCCCUCCCCCAAAUCCCAUCCCAUCUCUCUCGCUCUCUCUCUUUCCGCGCUGCGCGCGCGCCAAAUACAAAUCUCCCCCAACCAAUCCAAACGCUCGGAUCUCAGGGUUUUCCGGCCGAUGGCGGAGGCACCGGCGAGCCCCGGCGGCGGCGGUGGAGGAAGCCACGAUAGCGGCGGCGAGCAGAGCCCCCGAUCCACCGUCCGCGAGCAGGAUCGCUUCCUCCCCAUCGCCAACAUCAGCCGCAUCAUGAAGAAGGCCCUCCCCGCCAACGCCAAGAUCGCCAAGGACGCCAAGGAGACCGUCCAGGAGUGCGUCUCCGAGUUCAUCAGCUUCAUUACCAGCGAAGCGAGCGAUAAGUGCCAGAGGGAGAAGAGGAAGACGAUCAAUGGCGAUGAUUUGCUCUGGGCGAUGGCGACGUUGGGAUUCGAAGAUUACAUCGAGCCGCUGAAGUUGUACCUACAGAAAUAUAGAGAGAUGGAGGGUGAUAGUAAGUUAUCUGCAAAAGGUGGAGACAGCUCUGCUAGGACAGAUGCAGCAGGCCCUCAAGCUGGAAAUCAACCUGGUACAAGUACCCAAGGGGUAUCACAGAUGGGUCAACAAGGAUCUUUUACUCAAGGAAUGAACUAUAUGCAACCUCAGUGUAUCUCGCACAAGUAGGAGAGGAAAAUGGAUAGUCAUGAAGUUGAUGGGAUAUGUGUUACAUGGAAAAAAUGAUGUAUUGUGACAGGAGUGUCAAACAUAUGAGUCCUGUGAUCGUGGGACUUCAGAUCCAUAAUGGGGAUAUCUCAAGCUGAAUGAUUAUUGGCCUAUUUCUGCUAGCUGUUCUCUAUUUCAGUAAUUGGCAAGGAAUCAAAGUCUUCAUGGAAAGAACUGACUUGCUGGGUCUACAGGCUAUAUCUCUGCUAAAACUGAUGACAGAUCGUCUGAAGCAUACUAGUACCAUCUUCUUUUGGUUUGUAAAUUAAUUUGAAUAAAAUAAUCUAUACUUUGGGCGGUGUUCAGAAUCAUGCUCCAUAUUUGUCUUCUUUGUUGCGCACAUACGGAUGUCAUAUUUACUGUUUGUUGGUUUCCUUUAGCUAAAAUAAAUAUUUGAUGGUCAUAUUGCUUUAGUCAA
This is a non-coding RNA of Phoenix dactylifera (date palm), 1186 nucleotides long. Lineage: Eukaryota; Viridiplantae; Streptophyta; Magnoliopsida; Arecales; Arecaceae. The record is from RefSeq and is a predicted model, not a curated record.